CUGUAAGCCUGUGAAGGUGUGCUGUGAGGCAUGCUGGAGGUAUCAGAAGUGCGAAUGCUGACAUAAGUAACGAUAAAGCGGGUGAAAAGCCCGCUCGCCGGAAGACCAAGGGUUCCUGUCCAACGUUAAUCGGGGCAGGGUGAGUCGACCCCUAAGGCGAGGCCGAAAGGCGUAGUCGAUGGGAAACAGGUUAAUAUUCCUGUACUUGGUGUUACUGCGAAGGGGGGACGGAGAAGGCUAUGUUGGCCGGGCGACGGUUGUCCCGGUUUAAGCGUGUAGGCUGGUUUUCCAGGCAAAUCCGGAAAAUCAAGGCUGAGGCGUGAUGACGAGGCACUACGGUGCUGAAGCAACAAAUGCCCUGCUUCCAGGAAAAGCCUCUAAGCAUCAGGUAACAUCAAAUCGUACCCCAAACCGACACAGGUGGUCAGGUAGAGAAUACCAAGGCGCUUGAGAGAACUCGGGUGAAGGAACUAGGCAAAAUGGUGCCGUAACUUCGGGAGAAGGCACGCUGAUAUGUAGGUGAAGUCCCUCGCGGAUGGAGCUGAAAUCAGUCGAAGAUACCAGCUGGCUGCAACUGUUUAUUAAAAACACAGCACUGUGCAAACACGAAAGUGGACGUAUACGGUGUGACGCCUGCCCGGUGCCGGAAGGUUAAUUGAUGGGGUUAGCCGCAAGGCGAAGCUCUUGAUCGAAGCCCCGGUAAACGGCGGCCGUAACUAUAACGGUCCUAAGGUAGCGAAAUUCCUUGUCGGGUAAGUUCCGACCUGCACGAAUGGCGUAAUGAUGGCCAGGCUGUCUCCACCCGAGACUCAGUGAAAUUGAACUCGCUGUGAAGAUGCAGUGUACCCGCGGCAAGACGGAAAGACCCCGUGAACCUUUACUAUAGCUUGACACUGAACAUUGAGCCUUGAUGUGUAGGAUAGGUGGGAGGCUUUGAAGUGUGGACGCCAGUCUGCAUGGAGCCGACCUUGAAAUACCACCCUUUAAUGUUUGAUGUUCUAACGUUGACCCGUAAUCCGGGUUGCGGACAGUGUCUGGUGGGUAGUUUGACUGGGGCGGUCUCCUCCUAAAGAGUAACGGAG
RNAcentral lists this ribosomal RNA (1082 nucleotides) under Escherichia coli. Its description in RNAcentral is "partial 23S ribosomal RNA". It matches the Rfam family "Bacterial large subunit ribosomal RNA", at positions 1241 to 2305 of the family's 2925-position model. The record is from RNAcentral. Lineage: Bacteria; Pseudomonadati; Pseudomonadota; Gammaproteobacteria; Enterobacterales; Enterobacteriaceae.